AGAACGAACGCUGGCGGCAGGCUUAACACAUGCAAGUCGAACGAUGUAGCAAUACAUAGUGGCGCACGGGUGAGUAACGCGUGGGAAUGUACCUUAUAGUGGGGAAUAACUUUGGGAAACUAGAGCUAAUACCGCAUACGCCCGAAAGGGGAAAGAUUUAUCGCUAUAAGAUCAGCCCGCGUGAGAUUAGGUAGUUGGUGGGGUAAUGGCCUACCAAGCCUACGAUCUCUAGCUGGUCUGAGAGGAUGAUCAGCCACACUGGAACUGAGACACGGCCCAGACUCCUACGGGGGGCAGCAGUGAGGAAUCUUCGUCAAUGGGCGCAAGCCUGAACGAGCGACGCCGCGUGGGGGACACGGCAUUUCGGUGUGUAAACCCCUUUUUCCGAGGACGAGAAGGGACGGUACUCGGAGAAUAAGCAUCGGCUAACUACGUGCCAGCAGCCGC
Molecule: ribosomal RNA, 447 nt
Filed under: uncultured bacterium
Lineage: Bacteria
Description: SSU rRNA
Rfam family: Bacterial small subunit ribosomal RNA
Source: RNAcentral